AUUGUGAUCUCUACCAUGAAAUUCUUGUCUCUGUUUGUGUGUCUUUUAAUCGCGCUAAUCGCAGUUAAGGCAGAUCCUUUAUCGCCGUCUUUUCAAAAAUGCCUGGAUGAAAUAAGUGAUGCGGAAUUGUGUGAAAAUUUCAAAGAUCAAUUCCCGGAAGAUGCACCUGCUGUUCCUCUCGAUGAAUUUACCUUCGAGGCGUAUUCUGGAUAAUUUAACUUCACUUUCGUUGAGUAAUUCCGACGAACGCGAAUUAAGCUGAAUAAUUUAUUGUGCACUAUUGCUUUAUAAGUUAAGCAAAUAAACAAAUUUGUUUUGAUGUAAUAUUUGAUUGGUUUCCAUCGAUUUGUGUUUUGACAAGAAAUUAAUCAGUCGCCUUAGAUUUGGCUAUAAAAAGCUUUUGUAAGCUAAACUAAAAUCAACAUUAGCACAUAAAAGUGUACUUAUCACCACUAAUUAGUUGAAAAUAAUGUAUAUAGGUAAAGAAACAACCCAUACCAAUUAAAUUAAAACUGGCUGCGGCAGUUAAUGCUGCCAUGUAUAAGAAAAUAAAAUGUGAAAACUCAGCAACGAUUGUCCACUG
RNAcentral lists this long non-coding RNA (583 nucleotides) under Drosophila melanogaster (fruit fly). RNAcentral's name for it is "long non-coding RNA:CR45207". The record is from RNAcentral. Lineage: Eukaryota; Metazoa; Arthropoda; Insecta; Diptera; Drosophilidae.